Molecule: long non-coding RNA, 697 nt
Organism: Hippopotamus amphibius kiboko
Lineage: Eukaryota; Metazoa; Chordata; Mammalia; Artiodactyla; Hippopotamidae
Exons: 4
Source: RefSeq, a predicted model, not a curated record
CACACAUGAAAAAUCUAACAGCCCAAGACAGCACCGUUGUGAAACCUGAAAGUAUCCUUUGGAGGGAUAUUUCUCCCCUUUCACUUCAGAAGAUAAGUUUGGAGUGGGAAGGAGAAAGAGCAAUGGUGACACAUUGGAGCUCCAGAGAGAAUUUGUCACUCUCCAAUGAUAAAGAGAGCCAGGCUCCAGGGCCAGACUGCCUGAGUUCAAAACCCAGCAUGGAGCUGUCCCUUGGGAGAGUUGUUUAGGUAUUUCACAUCUCAGAGCUAUGUACAAUAGCCAGGACAUGGAAGCAACCUAAAUGUCCAUCAACAGAAGAAUGGAUAAAGAAGAUAUGGUACAUAUGUACAACGGAAUAUUACUCAGCCAUAAAAAGUAACAAAACUGUGCAGUUUGCAGAGAUGUGGAUGGACCUAGAGACUGUCAUACAGAGUGAAGAGACAGGUGGACAGUCUGAGAACACACUGGGCCUUGGAUUCCUGCAACAAGCUCGGCCAUGAAGACAGCAACGAAAGAAACACCACCGUGAACUCAGACCCCGUCAUUAUUAACAGCUCAUCUCUGGUAGCCCUGAUGCAAUGAAAGCUCACGGUUCUGGCUGUCAUCACGGACAACAUUUCCAACACAGCCACCCACAAGCCCUUGGAAACACCCGUAGCCUCUGGCAAUACCAGGAAUUCAAAGUCCCAGCCCUGUC